This is a long non-coding RNA of Canis lupus familiaris (dog), 689 nucleotides long. RefSeq lists it as uncharacterized. The record is from RefSeq and is a predicted model, not a curated record. NCBI's taxonomy places the organism in Eukaryota, Metazoa, Chordata, Mammalia, Carnivora, Canidae. The transcript is spliced from 3 exons.
CAGGGGAUGACUUUUAAAAUCCUAAAGUCCAUCUAAAUUAAGCAGUGAAACGGGUCAGGUCAAAUGCACAUAAAUCGCCCACCACUUAGCCUCUGCAAUACGGCCUUUCUAAAGGAUCUCACAAAAUGCUGAUCCUAUACAGUGAAAUUCCGGACUCAAUCGCAUUACGUGUUGUGCAGAAGUGCUUGAGCGGGUUCCAAAAGCAACCGUCUUUCUUGCAGCCCACUAACUCCGUUUUCCCUUAAGGAGGCUAUUUUUGUAUUCAGAGAGGAAAUAAUGGUGCAAGAAAGGGAUCCGGCCAAUGGGUGGUUUGCUUGACGGCUUUCUGGCAUCUGGAGGGCUGGCUCGGGUGAUUGCAACGUGAUGUCCCCGGACGCGCUGCAGGACGCCCACCUACCUCCUGAACGAUAUGUGUCCUUUGACCUCGCUGCAAAGAUCCUUCCGGAGCUACGAUGACCCAUUGCUUUCCCUAGGUUUCUCUUUCACAUUUCAAAGGUAGAAUUUCCAGCCUCUCCUUUGGGAAACUCAUCUUACAAAUUUCCAUUAGCUUUGGACUCAAAACGCACCCGUGUUGUCCCCAAAGUGAGCCUUGGACCAAGAGCUGCCACGUAGACAUUUAUUAAGCAGCAUAGUUGUUAGCAGUGGACACAAAACAGAAUAAAGCCAUUCGUAUAAAACUCUUCCGUGAA